RNAcentral lists this small RNA (106 nucleotides) under Marmota monax (woodchuck). The record is from RNAcentral. Lineage: Eukaryota; Metazoa; Chordata; Mammalia; Rodentia; Sciuridae.
GCUGGGAGUGGUGGGGCACACCUGUAAUCCCAGCUACUUGGGAGGCUGAGGCAGGGGACAGCAAGUUCAAAGGCAGCCUGGGCAAUUUAAGGAGACCCUGUCUCAA